AGAUUGAACGCUGGCGGCAUGCUUUACACAUGCAAGUCGAACGGCAGCACGGGGGCAACCCUGGUGGCGAGUGGCGAACGGGUGAGUAAUGCAUCGGAAUCUGCCCUGAUGUGGGGGAUAACGUAGGGAAACUUACGCUAAUACCGCAUAUGCCCUACGGGGUAAAGCGGGGGAUCGUAAGACCUCGCGCUGGUGGAUGAGCCUACGUCCGAUUAGUUAGUUGGUGGGGUAAAGGCCUACCAAGGCUACGAUCGGUAGCUGGUCUGAGAGGACGACCAGCCACACUGGGACUGAGACACGGCCCAGACUCCUACGGGCGGCAGC
RNAcentral lists this ribosomal RNA (324 nucleotides) under uncultured prokaryote. RNAcentral's name for it is "bacterial SSU rRNA". It matches the Rfam family "Bacterial small subunit ribosomal RNA", at positions 26 to 352 of the family's 1533-position model. The record is from RNAcentral.